UCGUAACAAGGUUUCCGUAGGUGAACCUGCGGAAGGAUCAUUACCUAGAGUUGUAGGCUUUGCCUGCUAUCUCUUACCCAUGUCUUUUGAGUACCUUCGUUUCCUCGGCGGGUCCGCCCGCCGAUUGGACAAUUUAAACCAUUUGCAGUUGCAAUCAGCGUCUGAAAAAACUUAAUAGUUACAACUUUCAACAACGGAUCUCUUGGUUCUGGCAUCGAUGAAGAACGCAGCGAAAUGCGAUAAGUAGUGUGAAUUGCAGAAUUCAGUGAAUCAUCGAAUCUUUGAACGCACAUUGCGCCCCUUGGUAUUCCAUGGGGCAUGCCUGUUCGAGCGUCAUUUGUACCUUCAAGCUCUGCUUGGUGUUGGGUGUUUGUCUCGCCUCUGCGUGUAGACUCGCCUCAAAACAAUUGGCAGCCGGCGUAUUGAUUUCGGAGCGCAGUACAUCUCGCGCUUUGCACUCAGAACGACGACGUCCAAAAGUACAUUUUUACACUCUUGACCUCGGAUCAGGUAGGGAUACCCGCUGAACUUAAGCAUAUCAAUAA
Molecule: unclassified non-coding RNA, 545 nt
Filed under: Didymella heteroderae
Lineage: Eukaryota; Fungi; Ascomycota; Dothideomycetes; Pleosporales; Didymellaceae
Description: sequence contains ITS1, 5.8S rRNA gene, ITS2
Rfam family: 5.8S ribosomal RNA (bases 183-336)
Source: RNAcentral